RNAcentral lists this ribosomal RNA (549 nucleotides) under uncultured bacterium. Its description in RNAcentral is "bacterial SSU rRNA". It matches the Rfam family "Bacterial small subunit ribosomal RNA", at positions 14 to 555 of the family's 1533-position model. The record is from RNAcentral.
UGAUCAUGGCUCAGAUUGAACGCUGGCGGCAGGCCUCACACAUGCAAGUCGAGCGGAUGACGGGAGCUUGCUCCUUGAUUCAGCGGCGGACGGGUGAGUAAUGCCUAGGAAUCUGCCUGGUAGUGGGGGACAACGUUUCGAAAGGAACGCUAAUACCGCAUACGUCCUACGGGAGAAAGCAGGGGACCUUCGGGCCUUGCGCUAUCAGAUGAGCCUAGGUCGGAUUAGCUAGUUGGUGGGGUAAUGGCUCACCAAGGCGACGAUCCGUAACUGGUCUGAGAGGAUGAUCAGUCACACUGGAACUGAGACACGGUCCAGACUCCUACGGGAGGCAGCAGUGGGGAAUAUUGGACAAUGGGCGAAAGCCUGAUCCAGCCAUGCCGCGUGUAGUAGAAGAAGGUCUUCGGAUUGUAAAGCACUUUAAGUUGGGAGGAAGGGCAGUAAGUUAAUACCUUGCUGUUUUGACGUUACCGACAGAAUAAGCACCGGCUAACUCUGUGCCAGCAGCCGCGGUAAUACAGAGGGUGCAAGCGUUAAUCGGAAUUUACU